AGUGAACGCUGGCGGUAGGCCUAACACAUGCAAGUCGAACGGCAGCACAGUAGGAGCUUGCUCUUACGGGUGGCGAGUGGCGGACGGGUGAGGAAUACAUCGGAAUCUACUUUUUCGUGGGGGAUAACGUAGGGAAACUUACGCUAAUACCGCAUACGACCUACGGGUGAAAGCAGGGGGUCUUCGGACCUUGCGCGAUUGAAUGAGCCGAUGUCGGAUUAGCUAGUUGGCGGGGUAAAGGCCCACCAAGGUGACGAUCCGUAGCUGGUCUGAGAGGAUGAUCAGCCACACUGGAACUGAGACACGGUCCAGACUCCUACGGGAGGCAGCAGUGGGGAAUAUUGGACAAUGGGCGCAAGCCUGAUCCAGCCAUACCGCGUGGGUGAAGAAGGCCUUCGGGUUGUAAAGCCCUUUUGUUGGGAAAGAAAAGCAGCAGGUUAAUACCCCGCUGUUCUGACGGUACCCAAAGAAUAAGCACCGGCUAACUUCGUG
This 492-nucleotide ribosomal RNA is filed under the name uncultured bacterium. Its description in RNAcentral is "partial 16S ribosomal RNA". It matches the Rfam family "Bacterial small subunit ribosomal RNA", at positions 29 to 507 of the family's 1533-position model. The record is from RNAcentral.